RNAcentral lists this ribosomal RNA (1243 nucleotides) under metagenome. RNAcentral's name for it is "bacterial LSU rRNA". It matches the Rfam family "Bacterial large subunit ribosomal RNA", at positions 1564 to 2816 of the family's 2925-position model. The record is from RNAcentral.
UGAAUACGAGAUGCUACGGCGUCGAAGCAGUCUAUGUCAUACUUCCAAGAAAAGCUUGCACUGUCAUAAACAAAUAUUGCCUGUACCAUAACCGACACAGGUGGGUAGGUAGAGUAUACUAAGGGGCGCGAGAUAACUCUCUCUAAGGAACUCGGCAAAAUGACUCCGUAACUUCGGGAGAAGGAGUGCCUUAUUUAUAAGGUUGCAAUAACAAGACCCAAGCAACUGUUUAUCAAAAACACAGGUCUCCGCUAAGUCGUAAGACGAUGUAUGGGGGCUGACGCCUGCCCAGUGCCAGAAGGUUAAAGAAGUUGGUUAGCAUUAGCGAAGCUGAUGACUGAAGCCCUGGUGAACGGCGGCCGUAACAAUAACGGUCCUAAGGUAGCGAAAUUCCUUGUCGGGUAAGUUCCGACCCGCACGAAAGGCGUAAUGAUUUGGGUACUGUCUCAGAGAGGGACUCGGUGAAAUAGACUUGUCUGUGAAGAUGCGGACUACCUGCACCUGGACAGAAAGACCCUAUGAAGCUUUACUGUAACCUGAAAUUGAAAUUGGACUUUAUUUGCGCAGUAUAGGUGGGAGGCUUUGAAGAUAUUCUUGCGGGAAUGUUGGAGCCAUCAGUGAGAUACCACUCUUGUAAUGUUAGAUUUCUAACUUUGUAUCAUUAUCUGGUCAAAGAACAGUUUCAGGCGGGCAGUUUGACUGGGGCGGUCGCCUCCUAAACGGUAACGGAGGCGCACAAAGGUUUCCUCUGAACGGGUAGAAAUCGUAUCUAGAGUGUAAAGGCAUAAGGAAGCUUGACUGUGAGACCUACAAGUCGAGCGGGGACGAAAGUCGGUCUUAGUGAUCUGACGGUGCUGAGUGGAAAGGCCGUCACUCAACGGAUAAAAGUUACUCUAGGGAUAACAGGCUGAUCUCCCCCAAGAGUUCACAUCGACGGGGAGGUUUGGCACCUCGAUGUCGGCUCAUCGCAUCCUGGGGCGGUAGUACGUCCCAAGGGUUGGGCUGUUCGCCCAUGAAAGCGGUACGCGAGCUGGGUUCAGAACGUCGUGAGACAGUUCGGUCCAUACCCGGUGUAGGCGUUAGAAUAUUGAGAGGAGCCUUCUCUAGUACGAGAGGACCGAGAAGGACACACCUCUGGUGUACCAGUUAUCGUGCCAACGGUAAACGCUGGGUAGCUAUGUGUGGAGCGGAUAACCGCUGAAAGCAUCUAAGUGGGAAGCCCACCUCAAGAUAAGUAUUCUCA